Gopherus flavomarginatus (Mexican gopher tortoise) is the source of this 504-nucleotide long non-coding RNA. RefSeq lists it as uncharacterized. The record is from RefSeq and is a predicted model, not a curated record. The transcript has 2 exons. NCBI's taxonomy places the organism in Eukaryota, Metazoa, Chordata, Testudines, Testudinidae.
ACACAGCCAGCUGGUUACUUCUAGCAGCAGGCAGUGCUCCGCUGCUGCAAACCCUCCUGUUGUGGUAAAAGAUAACCAUAAUGCUUUUCUUGAUACAGGAGAGAAGAAAUCACCCCCAGCAGUUAAGGGGGUGAAGCUUCGUACCCCUAAGGCUGGGAGGUCUGCUGCCACCACUGAUAAGAAACGUAGGGUAGUGGUGGUUGGAGACUCUCUGCUGAGGGGGACGGAGACACCCAUCUGUCGCCCUGACCGUUCAUCCCGGGAGGUAGGGGUCCGGGCAGAGACAGAUGCAUCGUGGAGGUGAAUGCCUGGCUGCGAAGAUGGUGUCGCCAGGAGGGCUUUGGCUUCCUCGACCACGGGAUGCUAUUUGAGGAAGGACUGCUAGGAACAGAUGGCGUUCACCUUUCGAAGAGGGGAAAGGCCUUAUUUGCGCACAGACUGGCUAACCUAGUAAGGAGGGCUUUAAACUAGGUUCGACGGGGACAGGUGAGCAAAGCCCACAGG